GAUGAACGCUGGCGGCGUGCUUAACACAUGCAAGUCGAACGAUGAAGCCGGAGCUUGCUCUGGUGGAUUAGUGGCGAACGGGUGAGUAACACGUGAGUAACCUGCCCUUGACUCUGGGAUAAGCGCUGGAAACGGCGUCUAAUACCGGAUACGAGCUUCCACCGCAUGGUGAGUUGCUGGAAAGAAUUUCGGUCAAGGAUGGACUCGCGGCCUAUCAGCUUGUUGGUGAGGUAACGGCUCACCAAGGCGACGACGGGUAGCCGGCCUGGGAGGGUGACCGGCCACACUGGGACUGGGACACGGCCCAGACUCGUACGGGAGGCAGAAGUGGGGAAUAUUGCACAAUGGGCGCAAGCCUGAGGCAGAAACGCCGCGUGAGGGACGAAGGCCUUCGGGUCGUAAACCUCUUUUAGCAGGGAAGAAGCGAAAGUGACGGUACCUGCAGAAAAAGCACCGGCUAACUACGUGCCAGCCGCCGCCGUAA
RNAcentral lists this ribosomal RNA (484 nucleotides) under uncultured bacterium. RNAcentral describes it as "partial 16S ribosomal RNA". It matches the Rfam family "Bacterial small subunit ribosomal RNA", at positions 28 to 523 of the family's 1533-position model. The record is from RNAcentral.